CCUACGGGAGGCAGCAGUGAGGAAUAUUGGUCAAUGGACGCAAGUCUGAACCAGCCAUGCCGCGUGCAGGAAGACGGCUCUAUGAGUUGUAAACAGCUUUUGUACGAGGGUAAACGCAGAUACGCGUAUCUGUCUGAAAGUAUCGUACGAAUAAGGAUCGGCUAACUUCGUGCCAGCCGCCGCGGUAAUACGGAGGAUUCAAGCGUUAUCCGGAUUUAUUGGGUUUAAAGUGUGAGUAGGCGGUCGGAUAAGUUAGAUGUGAAAUCCCGGGGCUCAACCUCGGAAUUGCCUCUGAUACUGUUCGGCUAGAGAGUAGUUGCGGUAGGCGGAAUGUAUGGUGUAGCGGUGAAAUGCUUAGAGAUCAUACAGAACACCGAUGGCGAAGGCAGCUUACCAAGCUACUUCUGACGUUGAGGCACGAAAGCGUGGGGAGCAAACAGGAUUAGAUACCCCUGUAGUC
Molecule: ribosomal RNA, 460 nt
Filed under: uncultured bacterium
Lineage: Bacteria
Description: partial 16S ribosomal RNA
Rfam family: Bacterial small subunit ribosomal RNA
Source: RNAcentral